This is a long non-coding RNA of Symphalangus syndactylus (siamang), 1929 nucleotides long. RefSeq lists it as uncharacterized. The record is from RefSeq and is a predicted model, not a curated record. Lineage: Eukaryota; Metazoa; Chordata; Mammalia; Primates; Hylobatidae.
UACAGUCAUUAAGCGGGGGACUUCCUGAGUCGCUCAUCAAGGCUGAUGCUCAGGCUUUAGCCUGCACUGCUAGCAUGUGGCUGUGUCACCCACUGAAGCAGAUGGCACAGGACGAGGACUGAAACGGGAAACCCGACCCAUGCGGGGCAUUGCCCGUUACAUUACAGAGCAAGGAGUUCCAGCAGAGACUUCCUAGAGCCAAGUCUGGCACAGACGUCGCUUCUCCAUGCAGAGUUCCCUACACCCCAGGUCGAUGUAGCCUUUUGUAGCUUGGAUCUCAGGACACCGCUCCACGUUACUCCUGUGGUGGCAAUCACACAUUGCUUUAUCACUUUUCAACACUGAGCAAUGAAUGUGAGCAGGCUGACAAAGGUGGUGCGCAGUGCAGGAGCUGAAGAAACAUCACGAUUAGAAGGAUGGCUGGUUCUUGGACCUGUGUGCAGUUCUCACUGGACCCCAUUGAGCUCUCUGUUUCCAUGGGGAUUCCAUCACCUCUUCUGCCUGGAAUCAUGUUAGAACCAAACUCCUGUUAUUUCUCACUUUGUGUUGAGGAAACGAGGCUUACAGAGGUGGAGGAGGUUGCCUCAGGCCCUAACACGAAUGGUGGAGCUGGAACUGGAACCAGGGGCAGUAAGGCUGGCACAGGGGUGUUUCUGCAAAUCACCAACGCUGUGUGCUUGGGGGAAAUGGAAGAAAAAGGGAACAAAAGAGCAGCAGGAGAACAAAUUCAUCUCGUCAGUAGGAUAAUACUUCCGUCCUCAUGUGGAAAUUGAACACAGAAACAUUUUCCACCAGCUCCCAAAAUCCCCUCCAAGUAGUUGCCAUCAGUACCUAGACUGUGGGGGAACUCAGGGGAACACGGCCCCACAUCCCUGUAGGAUGAGCCUCGUUUGAAAGUCCUGAAAUCAAGGACCUUGUAGAGCAAACAGGGCUCCCUAUCUGACGCACUGGAAGCCAAUACUAUGACACUGGAUUUUUGAGAAAAGAAAAGUUUGCUGUUGAAAAUCGACUCCCAGGGAGACAGGAAUCCACUCAGAUCUGUCUUCCUGUGCUGGCUUCACGGCAGUGAGUUUAUUAGAAAAGGCUCGGGAGCUGGAUCCUGGGAUUAGCAGGUGACUGGUGGCAAGUCCCUGGGCCUGGCCCGUAGCUCUUCACGCUGCCUCAAGGGUGGCACGUGCAAACUCGAGGGUGUGAGCAUGAAGCCUGUGGUGGAAAUUCAGGCUGUGACAUCAGCAAGUACAUUCCCUGCGGACUCCAGUGGGUCGUUUGGUUCUAGCUGAUUUCGGCUACUUCUUUCAUUGCAUACGUGGAGGGAGUGGCCGCGUUUCAGUAAGUUGUUUCCUUUUUUAUCUGCCAUCCCAUAAACUCAAGAAGUUCUUCUAGUUGUUGGUUUCUUUAACUCUUUGGGGCAGGGUUUCAAACGGAUAGCCUUUGAAAGUCAGACUCAAGGACGUACUGACACUGGGCCUGAAAAGCUUUAGGCCGCGUCAACCUAAGAGGCACACAGGCUCCGGGAUGUGUGAGGUCCAGGCUAGGCCGUCACCUAACCGAGCGCACUGGAGUGACCCCGGAGCACAGGCUCACCUGGAGGGAAGGACUCAGGGAAGGACGGAAAGGGUGGGGGUGAGGAGGCUCUUCUGAGCCUGCCCUGGCAGGGGCGCCACCCAGGCACAGCUCUGCUGUAAAGGUCAAUGCUGCCCAGCCUGACAUCACUGUCACCCAACCCUCAGGCAAAUUAAUUGCAAGUAUGUGCCAACAUUUUACGUCCAACUUGCUGAUCAUUUUUUUUUUAAUGGUUCAAGAUGUUUCUUUUUGGAAGAGUAUUUGUUUUUGUCUUUUUGGAGAGACUUGGGGGAGGAUGUGGCAGGAUGACAUUGUUAGAAUAAGCACAAAAAAAGGACUUCUGGCCACAGUCGACUGCCAGGGAUG